GAUGAAGAACGUAGCGAAAUGCGAUACGUAAUGUGAAUUGCAGAAUUCAGUGAAUCAUCGAGUCUUUGAACGCACAUUGCGCCCCCUGGUAUUCCGGGGGGCAUGCCUGUCCGAGCGUCAUUGCUGCCCUCAAGCCCGGCUUGUGUGUUGGGUCUCGUCCCCCUUCCCGGGGGGACGGGCCCGAAAGGCAGCGGCGGCACCGCGUCCGGUCCUCGGGCGUAUGGGGCUUUGUCACCCGCUCUGUAGGCCCGGCCGGCGCUUGCCGAUCAACCAAAACUUUUUUCCAGGUUGACCUCGGAUCAGGUAGGGAUACCCGCUGAACUUAAGCAUAUCAAUAAGCGGAGGA
Molecule: unclassified non-coding RNA, 346 nt
Filed under: soil metagenome
Description: partial contains 5.8S ribosomal RNA, internal transcribed spacer 2, and large subunit ribosomal RNA
Rfam family: 5.8S ribosomal RNA (bases 1-120)
Source: RNAcentral